This 497-nucleotide ribosomal RNA is filed under the name uncultured bacterium. Its description in RNAcentral is "partial 16S ribosomal RNA". It matches the Rfam family "Bacterial small subunit ribosomal RNA", at positions 28 to 507 of the family's 1533-position model. The record is from RNAcentral.
GAUGAACGCUGGCGGCGUGCCUAAUACAUGCAAGUCGAGCGAACAGACGAGGAGCUUGUUCCUUUGACGUUAGCGGCGGACGGGUGAGUAACACGUAGGUAACCUACCUAUAAGACUGGGAUAAUUUCGGGAAACCGGAGCUAAUACCGGAUAAUAUUUCGAACCGCAUGGUUCGAUAGUGAAAGAUGGCUUUGCUAUCACUUAUAGAUGGACCUGCGCCGUAUUAGCUGGUUGGUAGGGUAACGGCUUACCAAGGCUACGAUACGUAGCCGACCUGAGAGGGUGAUCGGCCACACGGGAAGUGGGACACGGUCCAGACUCCUGCGGGAGGGAGCAGUCGGGUAUCGUACGCAAAGGGCGGAAGCCUGGCGGAGCAACGCCACGUGAGUGAUGGAAGUCUUCGGAUCGUGAAACUCUGUUAUUAGGGAAAAACAAACUUGUAAGUAACUGUACACGGCGUGACGGUAACUAAUCAGAAAGCCACGGCUAACUACGUG